Molecule: ribosomal RNA, 484 nt
Filed under: uncultured bacterium
Lineage: Bacteria
Description: partial 16S ribosomal RNA
Rfam family: Bacterial small subunit ribosomal RNA
Source: RNAcentral
AGUGAACGCUGGCGGCGUGCUUAACACAUGCAAGUCGAACGAGAACGGAUUAUAGCUUGCUAUAAUUGUCAGCUAAGUGGCGCACGGGUGAGUAAUGUAUAGGUAAUAUGCCUCUUACUAAGGGAUAACAAAUGGAAACGUUUGCUAAUACCUUAUACUCCUUAUUAACAGAAGUUAAUAAGGGAAAGAUUUAUUGGUAAGAGAUUAGCCUGUAUUGUAUCAGUUAGUUGGUGGGGUAAUGGCUUACCAAGACUAUGACGCAUAACUGGUUUGAAGGCAUGAUCAGUCAAACUGGAACUGAGACACGGUCCAGACUCCUACGAGAUGGAUCAUUGGGGAAUAUUGCACGAUGGAAGAAAUUCUAAUGCAGCAACGCCGCGUGGAGGAUGACACAUUUCGGUGCGUAAACUCCUUUUAUAUGAGACGAUAAUGACGGUAUUAUAUGAAUAAGCACCGGCUAACUCCGUGCCAGCCGCCGCCGUAA